AUGAAAAGGUCCAGUGUGUCAUAUGUUGCUUAUUUCUGGUUGGCUGCUGCUCGCUGGCAGUUGAGUAAAUGUGUAGCAAUCAACGUUUUACCGUGGUUCAGACGUCUGGUCCAGGAGAGCUCAUUGCUCAUCCAGUAUUACACUCGCGCGCCCACUGCGUGUUCAUUUCCUUUGGUUUUCCCACUUCAUUCUCCACGCAAAGCAGACGACACGUCGAGCAGGAAGACGGACGCCCAGGGCGCGAUCGACUCGCUGCUGGGCCGCCUCACCACGGUCCUUGUCAGCGAGGCGCAGCUGCUGGGGGGCCUCCGCGGCGACGUCGAGUUCAUCAGCGACGAGAUGGAGAGCAUGAACGGCCUGCUCAUGCACCUUGCCGAGUCCCACAACCGCGACAGCCAGGUCCGGGCAUGGAUGAAGCAAGUGGCUGGCCUCAGCCGCGACUGCGAGGGCAACGUCGAGCUCUACGCCCAGUACGUCGGAGGUGCUGGCCCUGGCGCCAGAAAGGGCGUCCUGGGCUCCUUGCUCCGGAUGCUCCGCUUUGUGCACGGAAGGUGUACGAGCACCCGUACGUGGUGA
This 576-nucleotide ribosomal RNA is filed under the name Triticum aestivum (bread wheat). Its description in RNAcentral is "partial small subunit ribosomal RNA". The record is from RNAcentral. Lineage: Eukaryota; Viridiplantae; Streptophyta; Magnoliopsida; Poales; Poaceae.